GACGAACGCUGGCGGCGUGCUUAACACAUGCAAGUCGAACGGAAAGGCUCCAGCUUGCUGGAGUACUCGAGUGGCGAACGGGUGAGUAACACGUGGGUAAUCUGCCCUGCACUCUGGGAUAAGCCUGGGAAACUGGGUCUAAUACUGGAUAUGACCUUUCUCCUUAUGGGGUUUGGUGGAAAGUUUUUCGGUGUAGGAUGAGCCCGCGGCCUAUCAGCUUGUUGGUGGGGUGAUGGCCUACCAAGGCGACGACGGGUAGCCGGCCUGAGAGGGGGAUCGGCGACAUUGGGACUGAGAUACGGCCCAGUCGCCUACGGGAGGCAGCAGUGGGGAAUAUUGCACAAUGGGCGGAAGCCUGAUGCAGCGACGCCGCGUGAGGGAUGACGGCCUUCGGGUUGUAAACCUCUUUCAGCAGGGACGAAGCGUAAGUGACGGUACCUGCAGAAGAAGCACCGGCUAACUAUGUG
This 467-nucleotide ribosomal RNA is filed under the name uncultured bacterium. Its description in RNAcentral is "partial 16S ribosomal RNA". It matches the Rfam family "Bacterial small subunit ribosomal RNA", at positions 28 to 507 of the family's 1533-position model. The record is from RNAcentral.